GUGCCAGCAGCCGCGGUAAUACGUAGGUCCCGAACGUUGCGCGAAUUUACUGGGCGUAAAGGGUCCGUAGGCGGUCUGGUAAGUGGAAGGUGAAAUUCUGGGGCUCAACUCCAGAAUUGCCUUCCAAACUGCCGGACUUGAGGCAGGGAGAGGUCGGCGGAAUUCCCGGUGUAGCGGUGAAAUGCGUAGAUGUCGGGAGGAACACCAGUGGCGAAGGCGGCCGACUGGAACUGACCUGACGCUGAGGGACGAAAGCCAGGGGAGCGAACCGGAUUAGAUACCCCGGUAGUCCACGCCCUAAACGAUGGAUGCUAGGUGUUGGAUCCGAGAGGAUUCAGCGCCGAAGCUAACGCGUUAAGCAUCCCGCCUGGGGACUACGGCCGCAAGGCUGAAACUUAAAGGAAUUGACGGGG
RNAcentral lists this ribosomal RNA (413 nucleotides) under uncultured prokaryote. RNAcentral's name for it is "bacterial SSU rRNA". It matches the Rfam family "Bacterial small subunit ribosomal RNA", at positions 505 to 918 of the family's 1533-position model. The record is from RNAcentral.